RNAcentral lists this small RNA (802 nucleotides) under Drosophila mojavensis. RNAcentral's name for it is "GI25560". The record is from RNAcentral. Lineage: Eukaryota; Metazoa; Arthropoda; Insecta; Diptera; Drosophilidae.
GCGAGCUAACAACAACGGCAAACAAAACGCAAGCGCAAACGGCAAAGGCAAAGCCAAUCGCAUUCGCGACGUGCUUAGAAUUUUGUUAUUGUUACGAUUUUGUUUGAGAUGAGUUAGAACUUAAUGUGGAGUUCGUUUGGGCGAAGUAAAACGAGAGAGGGAGAGCGAGCGUACGAACGAAAGAUAGAGAGUCGAGAAUUCAAGGAGCACAAAAAGUGAGAGCGUGAGCGCGGGAGUGUGUGCAUACGUGUAUGCCUGUGCCUUUGUGUGCGUCUGCGACUGCGUCUGCGUCUGUGUGUGUGUGUGUGAGAUCAAGAUCUACUACGGACAGCAGCUAGCUGCAGCUUCUCAUCGCCUGGCUGCAACAGUUACGAUUCGUGCGCGUCGCUUGCAACAUCAAAUUGUUUUUCGGUUUCCGUUUCGGCUUCCAUUUGUUGUGUUGUGUUGUGUUGUGCUGUGUGUAACUGUGUGUGUGGGAAAAAAUGCAACAAAAAUGUGUGUCCAUUAGUUGUAAACGUUUUGGCGCUUGUAAUUGGCGGCAGCUGCUUUUGUUUUGCCUUUAAGAGCAACCAACAGUGAAACAGUGAACUACAGCGACAGCAGCAACAGCAGCGACAGCAGCAGCUGAAAGCAAAUGCAUUCAAGGUGCGCUUAAUUAACAUGCAAUUGGCAACAGCAACAGCAACAGCAACAGGCAAGCAGCAGCAACAACGGCGAGAGGCUAACGACAACAGCACGUCAAAGAGCGCAAUCACAGUUAUCAAAAGAAACUAAAAUUGCCGGUAGGCAGCAACAGCAACAU